Molecule: long non-coding RNA, 1193 nt
Filed under: Spirodela polyrhiza (greater duckweed)
Lineage: Eukaryota; Viridiplantae; Streptophyta; Magnoliopsida; Alismatales; Araceae
Description: long non-coding RNA (SPOL_LNC000046)
Source: RNAcentral
AGUCUUCUCUCGCCUCCCUUGGUCGGUCGUCCCUUCUCUGUGGUGGCAGGUGCGGUCAUCCCCUAUGAGCACGCCCUCUCGUCGGUUGUCUUCGAAGGUUACGGUGACCAGAGCUUCUAGCUUUCUGGUUUGGAAUUCGUAGCAGCGACGGUUUCUUGCUUCGCACCACGAUUAUCGUCAUCAUGUUUUCUAGCUUUCUGGUUUGGAAUUCGUAGCAGCGACGGUUUCUUGCUUCACACCACGAUUAUCGUUAUCAUGUUUCCGGCUAGGAAUCUCUGUGGUAAUAACUUUUCAUGAUCCUUCCCGACGACGAGUAACUGGCGUCUGAAUCCCAAGCAUCCGCCUUCCAGCAGUCGUCCGGUGGGCCAAAUGCGAUACUGAUAUCCGGCUGUCAUCACCUUCUCCGGCAUGCCGUCGGAAUUCGAUGCGGUGGACGUCGUUUGCUUAUGCCGCGGAGCUCUUCCUCCCUCCGGCCAGUCCCCCUGGCUCUUCUUCCUCCUCAUCCCAGCUUUCGGGAAUCCCUGUCCCUCUCUUCCAACUCGACUCGCAGGGCCUCCUCCCGCGGACGUCGGAGAAGUACCUGAAGACGAUGGAGAGGUGGGAGAAGCGUGGGUAUGGCCGGAGUCUCUGUUAGGGCCGUCUCGGCCCAUUGAGAGAUACAGAGCCGGCCCCAGAUUCUGCUCCUUCUCCCAGUGGGAACUGUUUUAACGAUCGCCACUGUCAAUGGUUGAGAGGAAGGUAAAGACGAUGGCCCCCAUUUUAUAUCCCGAUGAUGCUCUUUAUCAGUUCGGCGCGAAGAUACCGUCCCCCUCUCCCCUCCCGUUACGGAGGGCCACGCCUUCGAUCUCUCUCUUUCUCUCUCUCCUUCGAGCUCACCCGCCGCCAACCCCAAAUCGAACACCUCACUCAGGUAGUCGCGUAAUGAAGAAUUGAAGCCGUAGUUAGGUUUCACAGGGGACAUUCCGACGGUUCCCACGUUCAGCCUCCCUGGAGGUUGGGAGAAGAAGAUCAUGAAAGUCAGAGAGAGAGAGAGGGGGGAGGGGGUCAGGGCGGUGGUCGCCGCCCAACGCCGACAGCCAGACACCAUCGCACCCGCCUCGUCGCCGCUGGCGGCGAAUUGCCAUUCUUUUCGUCAAAACGUGAUCUUUAUGCUCUCAUCUCCGCUUCAAUCACACAACAUAUUAAAGGCUAUC